AUAAAAACUAUCGUAAGUAGUAUUAUUUCUUUCGUCCUUGUUUUAUUUCUCUCUCUUCCUCUCUCCCUCUUCCUCUCCCUCUUUUUCUCUCUCUCUCUCUCUCUCUCAUUAUUUAAUCCUCACACACUCGUAAUCAUCUUAUAAAUUAUACGAUCGCCCUCAAACGUAAUCGUUUCUUCGAAUAUUACGCUCGAUUCUCAUGUAUUUCGUAUGUUUUAAAAUUAAAAAAAAAAAAAAAGAUAAGAAAAAAAAAAAAAAAAAGAACAGAAAAAAUUGUAGCAAAACUUUCAAUCAAAAAAUUUCGUUAAUGAGAAUUAAAAGAUAUCAAGGAAGAGGAAAUCUCUGUUCGUAAAAAACAAAAAA
Vespa mandarinia (Asian giant hornet) is the source of this 363-nucleotide long non-coding RNA. Lineage: Eukaryota; Metazoa; Arthropoda; Insecta; Hymenoptera; Vespidae. The record is from RefSeq and is a predicted model, not a curated record.